AAAAUCUUGUGAGCACAGUUUUGAGCCUAUUUGGGCAGCUGUCCCCUGCAAACUCCACUUAGCUGCUCCCAUCAGACCCAGAAGCCUCACCCCUGCAGAAUGUUCCAGGUGGACUUUUGAGUUCAAUUUCCACUGGGUCCCGGGAGGAUCUUUUGGGGACCUGAACAGGGAUGUCACAAGGCCGUAACCUGAGCUGCAGCUCUCUCCCCUCACAAAGGAGAAAAGAGGCGGCAUCUGACAGAACAAGCAGGAGAAAACAAAAGAUUUGGUGAAGAGAGUUCACGAGUCUGACUUUAUAAUGGAGCAAUUAAGGAAACAAACACUUCAAUUUGUUCCUGCCAUGCAGCUCACCUGUAAUGCUCCAGACAACACCUCAUCUCUUCAGAAAUACUCCUAAGCACGUGCUUAACAUGAAGCGUGCUUUAUUGAACAAGGAUGGACUUACGCACAUGCUUAAAUGCUUUGCUGAAUUGGGGCCCUCAAUAAACAAUACACUGGAUUGCACCAGAGGUGAUAAAAAAAAAUCUGCUACCAGGUUUCUUGGGAGUGUUGUGUGUUCCCAAACUAAUUUUAAAAACAUAUUUUCUCUCUUCAGCAAAUCUUUUUCUUGUUAGUACCUACACCUAGAAAACAAUGGACUCUGGGCAAUGGGUAGAAUUCCAUUUGAUUUUAUAUGUGGAUUUUGGCAUCGGUGCAAGGGCACAAACAGGGAGACGAGCUAGAGCAAGCUCCCUAACAAGCCAAGUAACGAAUAUAAAAGGGAGUCGGAAGUACUGGAAGCUCAAGGUGCCCUGGCUUUGUAGAAGAGCCCUUGUAAAAGUGGCCUUCUCUCGUCACUGAGACAGGUGGAAGCACAGCCCCCUGGGACGCCGUUGCUGUUGAAAGUGUUCGGAUUCAACAAAACCAGACAACUCGCUGAUACACACGUUUGCCAAAGUAGGGGCGUGCUCCAAAACCCACAGACAUCAGUGCGAGUCCUUCCAUCGAUGUCAAUGGGCUUUGGGGCAGACCCUAUUUGCAGUUCCUGUUUUAAGGUAGAGGGGGCCAGCAAAGCAAGGGACUGCUAGGCGUCCCAAACAGGCUUGUUGCCUCACUCGUCUUGUCCACCCCAUCUGCUCCGCUAACAGUGAACCUCACAACCGGACCCCUCCCAUCCUCUCUCUAGCUUUGGGCACCACAAUUCGUAAGACCAGGGUUGCCCCAGUAUUAAGUGGAACACUGAGCACCGUCCGAAAGCAUCACAUUGAAUAGAAAGUGACCUCUCACCCCACAAAACAAAUAAAUAAGUGUCCAGCCCAGACAUGCUGGCUCUCGCCAGUGUUUUCUCCUGGGUUUUCAAUGGAUCUGGAAUUCAUACGAGUCUUGUUGUCUUCCUGCGUGUAUCAGUAUCGUUAAAGACUUGGGAUGUUCCUAGCAAUAACAUUUGUUAGAUAACCUUCUGCAGAGCUGGCAGAGAGAGAGAGCGAGCACAAAGUGGUUUAUAUGGGUUCUGCAAAAAUGGUUGCUUUCUACUACUCCUCUUCUCCACUUUUCAUCCCCACCCCCCUUUCUUUUUUCAUUUGUGCCAGAGUGGGGGUAUUUUUUGAGUUUACAUUAGGUGUCAUUGCUACACAAUUUGUUGAAACGGCCCAUUUUCCUUUCAUACAUUCUCAUUUGACAUUUUAUGCGCUGUUGUUUUUUCAUCUGAAAACCUUCCAUUUAAAAAUUCAUUUAAAAGAUUCUCGGCAGUGUGGAUCUGUGUUUAAAACAAUUCUCCUUAGAACCCAGAGAACAUUCCCCAGGAGACAGUCACCAUUUUGAAGUUGAACUGAAAAUAUGUUUUAAGAAAAUAAAUGCAAAAACUGUAGGGAAGUCUAUGAGGGUGUAGGGGCAUAGAUUCCACUCCCUUCCCUGUUCCAGACACAGAACCCUCAUAAGCUAUAAUAGUAGCUGCUGAUAUUACAUCAGAAUUCUUGGCCUCUGGAUCUGUGUAAUUGCAGAUUCUAUGGUCCCAGCAUAUCUCCAAGCUGCUGUUUCCCCUUGCUUACAUGCCAGCCCACUUGAGGGCUGAGCAGGGUGUGAAGACACCAGUCUAUGUUUAUAUGUUGCAAUAUAUUAUACAGCCACUAGAUGUCUCUGCUGUACAGAGUUCCAGACAGGGUGUGGUCUAUGGUAAACCAAGGAGACAAAGGCAGAACUCAAGUGGUGUAGAAACCUAUUUUUGCACCUGUAGUUUGCAGUUGCUUUCUUUAAUAAAUGCUUCCUAUUUAAGGUA
Molecule: long non-coding RNA, 2254 nt
Organism: Mauremys mutica (yellowpond turtle)
Lineage: Eukaryota; Metazoa; Chordata; Testudines; Geoemydidae
Exons: 2
Source: RefSeq, a predicted model, not a curated record